UGAAUACGAGAUGCUACGGCGUCGAAGCAGUGUAUGUCAGACUUCCAAGAAAAGCUCGCAAUGUCAUAAAUAAAGAAUGCCUGUACCAUAACCGACACAGGUGGGUAGGUAGAGUAUACUAAGGGGCGCGAGAUAACUCUCCCUAAGGAACUCGGCAAAAUAACUCCGUAACUUCGGGAGAAGGAGUGCCUUCUUUAAGAAGGUUGCAAUAACAAGAUCCAUGCAACUGUUUAUCAAAAACACAGGUCUCCGCUAAGUCGUAAGACGAUGUAUGGGGGCUGACGCCUGCCCAGUGCCAGAAGGUUAAAGAAGUUGGUUAGCUUUGCGAAGCUGAUGACUGAAGCCCUGGUGAACGGCGGCCGUAACUAUAACGGUCCUAAGGUAGCGAAAUUCCUUGUCGGGUAAGUUCCGACCCGCACGAAAGGCGUAAUGAUUUGGAUACUGUCUCGGAGAGGGACUCGGUGAAAUAGACUUGUCUGUGAAGAUGCGGACUACCUGCACCAGGACAGAAAGACCCUAUGAAGCUUUACUGUAACUUGAAAUUGAAAUUGGACUUUAUUUGCGCAGUAUAGGUGGAAGGCGUUGAAAGUAAUCUUGCGGGAUUAGUGGAGCCAUCAGUGAGAUACCACUCCUAUAAUGUUAGAUUUCUAACUUUGGAUCAUGAUCUGGUCAAAGAACAGUUUCAGGCGGGCAGUUUGACUGGGGCGGUCGCCUCCCAAAUGGUAACGGAGGCGUACAAAGGUUUCCUCUGAACGGGUAGAAAUCGUAUCUAGAGUGUAAAGGCAUAAGGAAGCUUGACUGUGAGACCUACAAGUCGAGCAGGGACGAAAGUCGGUCUUAGUGAUCUGACGGUGCUGAGUGGAAAGGCCGUCACUCAACGGAUAAAAGUUACUCUAGGAUAACAGGCUGAUCUCCCCCAAGAGUUCACAUCGACGGGGAGGUUUGGCACCUCGAUGUCGGCUCAUCGCAUCCUGGGGCGGUAGUACGUCCCAAGGGUUGGGCUGUUCGCCCAUGAAAGCGGUACGCGAGCUGGGUUCAGAACGUCGUGAGACAGUUCGGUCCAUAUCCGGUGUAGGCGUUAGAAUAUUGAGAGGAGCCUUCUUUAGUACGAGAGGACCGAGAAGGACAUACCUCUGGUGUACCAGUUAUCGUGCCAACGGUAAACGCUGGGUAGCUAUGUAUGGAGAGGAUAACCGCUGAAAGCAUCUAAGUGGGAAGCCCACCUCAAGAUGAGUAUUCUCGC
This 1243-nucleotide ribosomal RNA is filed under the name metagenome. Its description in RNAcentral is "bacterial LSU rRNA". It matches the Rfam family "Bacterial large subunit ribosomal RNA", at positions 1564 to 2817 of the family's 2925-position model. The record is from RNAcentral.